Molecule: ribosomal RNA, 424 nt
Filed under: uncultured prokaryote
Description: bacterial SSU rRNA
Rfam family: Bacterial small subunit ribosomal RNA
Source: RNAcentral
UCGAGAAUCUUCCGCAAUGGACGCAAGUCUGACGGAGCGACGCCGCGUGCGGGAUGAAGGCCUUCGGGUUGUAAACCGCUGUCAGUGGGGAGGAAAUGCAUGGGGGUACUCCCCUGUGUUUGACCGAUCCGCAGAGGAAGCACAGGCUAAGUUCGUGCCAGCAGCCGCGGUAACACGAACUGUGCAAACGUUAUUCGGAAUUACUGGGCUUAAAGAGUUCGUAGGCGGCUUGUUAAGUCGGGUGUGAAAUCCCGCGUCUCAACCGAGGAAUUGCGCUCGAAACUGGCGAGCUUGAGUGAGAUAGAGGUGAGCGGAACUGAUGGUGGAGCGGUGAAAUGCGUUGAUAUCAUCAGGAACACCGGUUGCGAAGGCGGCUCACUGGGUCUUGACUGACGCUGAGGAACGAAAGCUAGGGGAGCGAACG